GAUGAACGCUGGCGGCGUGCUUAACACAUGCAAGUCGAGCGAGUGAGUUCUUCGGAACAAUCUAGCGGCGGACGGGUGAGUAACACGUGGGCAACCUACCUCAUAGAGGGGAAUAGCCUCCCGAAAGGGAGAUUAAUACCGCAUAAAAUUAUCGAGUGGCAUCACAUGAUAAUCAAAGGAGUAAUCCGCUAUGAGAUGGGCCCGCGGCGCAUUAGCUAGUUGGUGAGGUAACGGCGCACCAAGGCGACGAUGCGUAGCCGACCUGAGAGGGUGAUCGGCCACAUUGGGACUGAGACACGGCCCAGACUCCUACGGGAGGCAGCAGUGGGGAAUAUUGCACAAUGGGGGAAACCCUGAUGCAGCAACGCCGCGUGAGUGAUGAAGGUCUUCGGAUUGUAAAGCUCUGUCUUUGGGGACGAUAAUGACGGUACCCAAGGAGGAAGCCACGGCUAACUACGUGCCAGCCGCCGCUGUAA
RNAcentral lists this ribosomal RNA (476 nucleotides) under uncultured bacterium. RNAcentral describes it as "partial 16S ribosomal RNA". It matches the Rfam family "Bacterial small subunit ribosomal RNA", at positions 28 to 523 of the family's 1533-position model. The record is from RNAcentral.